This 492-nucleotide ribosomal RNA is filed under the name uncultured bacterium. RNAcentral's name for it is "partial 16S ribosomal RNA". It matches the Rfam family "Bacterial small subunit ribosomal RNA", at positions 29 to 507 of the family's 1533-position model. The record is from RNAcentral.
AGUGAACGCUGGCGGUAGGCCUAACACAUGCAAGUCGAACGGCAGCACAGUAAGAGCUUGCUCUUACGGGUGGCGAGUGGCGGACGGGUGAGGAAUACAUCGGAAUCUACUUUUUCGUGGGGGAUAACGUAGGGAAACUUACGCUAAUACCGCAUACGACCUACGGGUGAAAGCAGGGGAUCUUCGGACCUUGCGCGAUUGAAUGAGCCGAUGUCGGAUUAGCUAGUUGGCGGGGUAAAGGCCCACCAAGGCGACGAUCCGUAGCUGGUCUGAGAGGAUGAACAGACAAACUGGAAAUGAGAAAAGGUCCAGACUCCUAAGGGAGGGAGCAGUGGGGAAUAUUGGACAAUGGGCGCAAGCCUGAUCCAGACAUACCGCGUGGGUGAAGAAGGCCUUCGGGUUGUAAAGCCCUUUUGUUGGGAAAGAAAAGCAGCAGGUUAAUACCCCGCUGUUCUGACGGUACCCAAAGAAUAAGCACCGGCUAACUUCGUG